RNAcentral lists this ribosomal RNA (254 nucleotides) under uncultured bacterium. RNAcentral describes it as "partial 16S ribosomal RNA". It matches the Rfam family "Bacterial small subunit ribosomal RNA", at positions 524 to 776 of the family's 1533-position model. The record is from RNAcentral.
UACGAGAGGCCCAAACGUUAUUCGGAUUUACUGGGCUUAAAGAGUUCGUAGGCGGUUCGGUAAGUGAGGUGUGAAAGCCCUCGGCUCAACCGAGGAAUUGCGCUUCAAACUGCCGGGCUCGAGGGAGAUAGAGGUGAGCGGAACUGAUGGUGGAGCGGUGAAAUGCGUUGAUAUCAUCAGGAACACCAGAGGCGAAGGCGGCUCACUGGGUCUCUUCUGACGCUGAGGAACGAAAGCUAGGGGGAGCAAACGGG